GUGUCAGCCGCCGCGGUAAGACGAGGGAUCCUAGCGUUGCUCGGAAUCAUUGGGCGUAAAGCGGGUGUAGGUGGCUUUGUAAGUCAGGUGUGAAAGCCCAGGGCUCAACCCUGGAAGUGCAUUUGAUACUGCGAAGCUUGAGUGUGGGAGAGGCUACUGGAAUACCUGGUGUAGUGGUGAAAUACGUAGAUAUCAGGUGGAACACCGGAGGCGAAGGCGGGUAGCUGGCCCAACACUGACACUCAGACCCGAAAGCGUGGGGAUCAAACAGGAUUAGAUACCCUGGUAGUCC
This 292-nucleotide ribosomal RNA is filed under the name uncultured bacterium. Its description in RNAcentral is "partial 16S ribosomal RNA". It matches the Rfam family "Bacterial small subunit ribosomal RNA", at positions 505 to 796 of the family's 1533-position model. The record is from RNAcentral.